CGCUACAGGUGGACAGAGAAAAUGACACACGUCACUUUUUUUUAAUUUGGCUUCCUCUUUUUUUUUCUUUGUUUAGCAGGAGGAAAGGGUAAGUGGUGGCGGGGUUAAGGAGGGGGAGAAGGAGAGGGAGCAGACGGCGGCGGCGGUGAGUGGCCUGUGUCGGCAGCGGCGGUGGUCACGGGAGGGGGUGUCGGACGUGGGGUUAGGAAGAGAGGAGGUCAGUGGAAUAGGGGUGGUGAUCACUCGAGGAGGAGGGGGGUGGGGCGAGCGGGGUCUAGCUCAUCAUCCAAGCCCAAGUGCCGGUUCCGCCGCGCUCGCGAGGCUACGACCAAGUUCGUCGAACUCCACCCACGAGGGACGCCGAGAAUGGGAACACGGCUGCGGUACCUGUUCCUCUUGUAUAUGGAGACAAUCACCUCGUCGGGGUUGGGAUCGGGAAGAAGCCGGUACCGCUGGAUCGUUCGUCCUCCUAGCUUAGGGAAAAGAAUAGGGGAAUACACUACGCACGGAGACGAACAUCUCCGCACCUCUUAAAAAGUCACGGUUCGUACAUUAAUCUCUUAUUUAUAUCGCCGUUUACUCUAAUAGCUCGACAAUAUGCUUGGCUAACAAUGAGCCAAAGGCUAGUAACGGUUCGUCUUCUUACAGCUCGCAUGGACUUUCUUCCAUAGACGUCAAACUAUAAACGUCGGGGUUCCACGAGACUUAAGGGACUUGAGUCAGCCUACGCUCUGGAAGAACUUUUCUUCAUACCCUUUCUAAAACAACAACGACGUCAACUAGACGUGUGUUUACGAUCACAGUUAUGGAACAUUCCCACACACAAAGUAAAAAAAAGAUGUUUCAGUAAGUAACAGUGAUGACGUACAUAAAAAACGAGUGAUGACUUAGUUGCUACAAGUCGAUUAACUCCUUCAACAGUCAGUAGAGACCUGAUGUGAUAGUUCAAGGUUUCGCUUCUAAAACGUGUUUGUCAUGUUCACACAGAUACUAAUACUCGUCAUAGUCAUGAAGUUGAGCUGUACUAAAUUCUACGAUUAGUAUAAGAUCUAUUUAAAAGGUCACCUUCGAGUGUUCUUAGAUAAGAAACAGUUACCUUCCUCUAAUACCCCACAUUAAGAAGUCUACAUCUUUACAGUGUAAAACGAGUCCCAAGGCUCUCAUGUUAUCUCCGGUUUUGGUUCUAAAACCUAAGAGUUUGUAUGUUAAACGUACACUUAUUUACACAUUCAAAUGUUACGUACCAACAUAGUGUUUGAUACCAAUGUUCAACGAGAGAUCCUUGAGUACUACACAACAAACGUAAUAAACAGACUAAAAGACAACAUGAGACAUUUUUGAACCUACAAAG
Molecule: ribosomal RNA, 1351 nt
Filed under: Triticum aestivum (bread wheat)
Lineage: Eukaryota; Viridiplantae; Streptophyta; Magnoliopsida; Poales; Poaceae
Description: partial small subunit ribosomal RNA
Source: RNAcentral